This is a non-coding RNA of Podarcis lilfordi (Lilford's wall lizard), 3172 nucleotides long. NCBI's taxonomy places the organism in Eukaryota, Metazoa, Chordata, Lepidosauria, Squamata, Lacertidae. The record is from the annotation of a GenBank genome assembly.
AUUUCCAAGUAGGCCAGUAUGAACCUUGAGCAAUUCCUCCAUAUCAAAUUGACUUAUAAACUGGUACAGAUAAUGGCAUCAUGUUCUACAAACCUCUUUCUGAAUAGGCUAGUCCUGCUUAAGUUGGUUGGGGUUCUUGCAGUGCUUUCUCUUACCUGAGGGUACGCCUGAUCUCUUUUAACAAUUACUUGCGAGGUAACAGUUUGACAAACCCCUGCUGUAUCCCCUGGAACCUUUAAUUUGUGAAUCCAAUCUUAGAAACCAUUUCCUGUUAUCAGAAUCCAGUUUGGAACAGGAUUAGGUUACUGAAUCUCCUUUGAUUUGUUUGGGCAGCUGGCAUUUGUACUAGCAGACCAAGAAAAGAGACAGGCCAGCUCCUUGUUUUUAUUUCAUUCUUUUGUUUACUUGCUCUUUUAUUUUACCUCAAUUUGUUCUUUUGGUUUGAUACUUGAAUGGUGAUACAGAUAAUGCCCUGGACUGAAACUCAGAUGCACUUUAUAGAUCACACCACUCUUCGCCAACCUGGUGCCCUCCAGAGGUUUUGGACUGCAACUCCUCAGUUGCCAUCACAAACCUCUGGAGGGCACUAAGUUGGCAAGGACUGCAUUACAUCUAUACAGCAAAUUUAAACCGGUUGCAAACCAGCUUAAUUGCUGGAAAUUUUCAAAGAACCUCAAGAAUUGCAAUUUUUGCAAAGGUGCUGAGAACUCUCUUAAAGGCCUUUCCCCCAGGAUUUCAUGUGGGACAAAGCCAUGAUGAUAACCCGGUUUAAAUUUGUAGAGUAGAUAGUUUCUAAUAUUUGUAUACUAGUCAGCAGAUGCCAUCCUUGCUUCAGUCAAACAAACGGCCAACGUAUUUCUUUGUUGGUUUCCGUGACUUGGAGGAGUUGAUCUAGCGGAUGCUAACAUUUCACAGUUCUUGGGAACGAUUUGUGCUCUGAUUUUUACUAUUCCUUUUUCUUUAUUCUUUUUAGUCAUAACUAAAAGCCAGGGUCCACUUUUGUUAGUACUUGCAUACACUGUUAAGACAUCUCAUUAGCAUUGGUGAAACUUAUGGCGUGUAAGAUCCGAUUUUUUUCCCAGUUUUUUCCAGCAUUUGGAACUAGAAUUUCACCUUGUGAGCCACGUGAGAGAAUUCAGAUUUGUUGUCUGUUCAGUGUAAACUGAAUCUGAUUUAGGGUAUAAUAUAGGUGCCACUGACAUCAGGGGAGCGGGGGAAUCAGUUAUUGAUGAACUGGAUAUGGCAGCCAUUAUUUCACUCGUGUCAUUAAGGAAUUGGUCCAGAGUAAUUUCAAUUUAGGAGGAACUGCUUUUGCCUUUUAAAUUAGUGUGGAAUUCAUGUACUGGGUUUGAUGAAACCUAUAAUAUUUCCCCUUGUUACCAAGUGAGAGAAUUCCAAUGGAAAAACAGUAGAGAAAACUGGAGUUCCACCAUAAUCACCAAGGAGUUGUAUUCUACUAAGCUCAAGAGUAACCCUUUGAAAUUAAAGGACCUAAGUUAAUCAUAUCUAUUAAUUUCAGUGGGUUUAUUCUGAGUCGGGCUAGCAUUGGAUACAAUCCAAGAGUCCAAUCUAGUAAUGUUGACACAAAUGGGAAAAUAUCCAUUGGGGCAUAUUCUGGAACUGUUGCAAUGGGAACAGAUUUAUCCUUGCAAGUAAAAAAAUCAAUCUUUCUAAAGUUCUUCCACAAUCUUCCACAUUUCUAAACAAUUCCAGAACACAACCAACUAAGAAGGAUUUGCUGAGAGCCUCACUGGGUGAGAAGGUAUUCUCUUCAGGAGGGCAUCCGAGUUUAGAUUGGGGGAGUUAAUCUUUUGGCCCCAUACCAAGUCUGUGAUGGAAACAACCCCCUUCCCAAAGCUGCAUUGAGUUGUGCAUUUCAUCAGUGGCUAAUAGCAGCUUUGGGAGGGAGGGUUCGAAUUUGUCUCAAGGAAUCUUCGCAGGGAGCAAAGGGUUAAAUCCCCCCUGCACCACAGGCCUGGUCCAAAUCGGAGCUGCUUUUACCUCCAGCCAUGGGAUUUUUGCAUCCCAAACUGUUUUGGCCUUUCAUUUGACAAGUCUGCAGCUGUCUGGGCUUAAAGAGAAAUGUGAGGUUGUUUGCCUUCUGUCAAAAUGGAUCUGCACUUCUUUGGGGGGAAACAUUCAUUUUAACUGUUUCGGUGCUUAUAUAAUGACCUUUUCUGCAUGGAGUUGCAAAUGAAUUUUUCCUUCCCCAUCUGAACUCUGCUAUUCCUUUCCACCCCAUCCUGAACCUUGGUUCCAUUUCAGCACCACUUCAAGGGUCAAACAGCUCUCUGCUGCUGAGCAGCUUUUGCCAACCUGGUGCCCUCCCACUGUUUUGGACUAUGACUCCCAGAACAGCAGGAGGGCAAAAGGUUGGCAAAGAUGGCUACAGACUUUAAAAUAACCAUUUUUAAUGCAGUUCCCAGAUUCCCUAGGGAGAAGGUGCUUGUCGUGCCCUUUUCCUAGGGAAUAAUGGGGCUAUUCUACAAGUAGGAACUCUCUCAGCACCUUCACAAUACUGCAGAAUAAAACUGGGGGUGGGAGAACGGUUAUGGCAGUUAAAUUGGCAUAAGUUUGCAGUGAAGGUGCCUCCUCCAGAUGUGCAAUGGAGAAUGCAAACUCUUUAGCUUAGCUGAAUCCAGCAAUUUAUUCCAUCAUAUAUUCGGGCACGUAUUGGAGGGCUGUUGUGGACUUCGAUUUUCUUUUUCAACGUGGUGCAGGAUAUAUAUUCUCCACCUGUAAACAGUUCUGUCUUACCUUGGACCAUUCUUGUCUCAGUUUCUGGUGUUGCUUUUUUUGUCAUAGGAAAUCAGUCCUUGGAAGCAGGUCAUGCAUUCCAUCCAGGGUUUGGGUUUUAUUUUAUCAGUUGUUACCUGGUUUCCCCCAACCUCUUUCUUUCUUCCUCUCUCUCGCUCUGUAAAAACCCGAGAGAGGAAGACAGAGAAGCUAAGAAAUGUUAACCCAUCCAUAAAGAGAAGAAGAUGAUUACUAGUUAGACUCAGUGUCUUGAGUUCGGAGGCAUAUAGUAAAGAGAAGAUUUUUUAAAAGUUAAAAAAAGAAAAGAAAAGAAUGAUGUUGCACAACUUGUAGGAAAACAAAGAAGGGAAAGGGUUAUUGUAUUAAAUGUGCUAAAUUACAUUAAGAACUUAAUUUUAUUAAAGUAUUAUUACUU